This is a long non-coding RNA of Tachysurus fulvidraco (yellow catfish), 296 nucleotides long. RefSeq lists it as uncharacterized. The transcript is spliced from 3 exons. NCBI's taxonomy places the organism in Eukaryota, Metazoa, Chordata, Actinopteri, Siluriformes, Bagridae. The record is from RefSeq and is a predicted model, not a curated record.
GUGAAGAACGUAUACAGGGUAAAAUUUCCAAAGGAUCAGCAUUUGACAUUUUUGUUGUGAUCAAAACAGCAGGCUAUGAGGUGUAUGUAAAUGGGCAGAAGUCUUUCCUGUUCAGUCAUCGCAUACCAAUGGCCAAAGUGAAUUCAGUUUAUAUUCGUGGAGAUGUCAAAAUGAACACUGUUGGUAUUGUUGCAAACUGGAGCAAAUCUACGUUUGGUAAGGAACUAAACACUGGCAUCUCACGCACAAAGCUUUCAGACAUCCAGUCUAAUGUCCCACAUCCAGUCUGCAAUCCU